UAACCUGCCCAAGAGAUCGGGAUAACACCUGGAAACAGAUGCUAAUACCGGAUAACAACAGAUGAUGCCUAUCAACUGUUUAAAAGAUGGUUCUGCUAUCACUCUUGGAUGGACCUGCGGUGCAUUAGCUAGUUGGUAGGGUAACGGCCUACCAAGGCGAUGAUGCAUAGCCGAGUUGAGAGACUGAUCGGCCACAUUGGGACUGAGACACCGGACCCAAACUCCGUACGGGAGGCAGCAGUU
RNAcentral lists this ribosomal RNA (243 nucleotides) under uncultured Lactobacillus sp. RNAcentral describes it as "partial 16S ribosomal RNA". It matches the Rfam family "Bacterial small subunit ribosomal RNA", at positions 122 to 355 of the family's 1533-position model. Lineage: Bacteria; Bacillati; Bacillota; Bacilli; Lactobacillales; Lactobacillaceae. The record is from RNAcentral.